UGGUGAACUGUCAGCUGGACUCAGGAAACAAGGCCGACCAAAGAAAAGCUUCAAGGAUCAGCUCAAGUCCAACUUGAAGUGGGCUGGCAUGACACCAAAGCAACUAGAACUCACUGCCUCUGACAGAAGCAGCUGGCGAACCCACAUUCAGCAUGCCGCCACCACCUUUGAAGAUGAGCGACGUCGAUGUCUUGCUGCUGCGCGUGAACGCCGACACCAGGCCACAACCGCACCUCCCGUAACAACUGGCGUCCCAGGCCCCAUGUGCCACAGGCUCUGCGGCUCAGCCUUUGGACUCCAAAGCCACAUGAGGCAAGAAGAGGGGCUGCAGGAGAAUCAGAGAUAUAGCAGAAACGAAGAUUUAAGAUUGAGAAGAAUAAAAGAGGAGUCUCAAAACAAUGAAGAGCAAUCCCAAGGGAGAAGAGUUUUUACAGACUUGCAUUCUUGCAGAAAAGUAUCCUUCCUGAACCCAAGGGAUACACCUCUUCACCCCCACAACAGCCCUUUCUCUAAACAAGACAGAAGACCAUUGCCACAAAAACUGAAUCACUACAGAACUUUAAAGUGAUGUAUAUCUAAUCAGAGGUAGACAUACCUAGCUGAAGAUUAAUUCAGGAUGUGGAAAAAUAAACUUAAAACUAAUGACCCCA
Molecule: long non-coding RNA, 650 nt
Filed under: Monodelphis domestica (gray short-tailed opossum)
Lineage: Eukaryota; Metazoa; Chordata; Mammalia; Didelphimorphia; Didelphidae
Description: lncRNA (ENSMODG00000036001.2)
Source: RNAcentral